RNAcentral lists this ribosomal RNA (251 nucleotides) under uncultured bacterium. RNAcentral describes it as "partial 16S ribosomal RNA". It matches the Rfam family "Bacterial small subunit ribosomal RNA", at positions 524 to 776 of the family's 1533-position model. The record is from RNAcentral.
GACAAACGUGACGAGCGUUGUUCGGAAUCACUGGGCAUAAAACGCACGUAAGCGGCGGCGUAAGUCGGGUGAAAUCCCUCGGCCCAACCGAGGAACUGCGCCCGAUACUGCGUUGCUUGAGGAUCAGAGGGGUGCACGGAAUUUCCGGUGGAGCGGUGAAAUGCGUUGAUAUCGGAAGGAACGUCGGCGGCGAAAGCGAUGCACUGGCUGAUUUCUGACGCUGAGGUGCGAAAGCCAGGGGAGCAAACGGG